RNAcentral lists this long non-coding RNA (447 nucleotides) under Gallus gallus (chicken). Lineage: Eukaryota; Metazoa; Chordata; Aves; Galliformes; Phasianidae. The record is from RNAcentral.
CAUGAGCAGGUAAACAAGUAGUUCUCCCUGAGUAUCUUGUUGCGGCUGUGUCUGCUCCGCUCCCUCUGACAGCAGUCUAAAUAACUGAUGCAGAUUUCCUCUCCUGCUUCGAUGUCCUCCAGAGCAGUCAAAUACAAAAGGAAGUUGUUGUCUGGGAAGGAUGUCUCAGCAUUGGGGAUGCAGCUGUGGUUACAGCAGCUCUGGAGCAUGUAGAGACCUGACCCCUCACAGUUGAGGAACUCUCCAGAUUCCUUCUCAAUGUCCUUGUAGAGCUGGUCAAUGAAGGCGUCCAGCUCUUCUCGUUGCAGCAUGGGGAGAUCCAGCGCAUCACAAGCAUGCACCCACUGGCUCAGAGAGCUGGUUCCUAUGCCUUGGCCAUUGGUCCCAACGAGAGCAAAGAGAGAUCGAAAGCCUUCUGGAGUGAACCACCUACUGAGUUGUUCGUCG